RNAcentral lists this ribosomal RNA (245 nucleotides) under uncultured Gemmatimonas sp. Its description in RNAcentral is "partial 16S ribosomal RNA". It matches the Rfam family "Bacterial small subunit ribosomal RNA", at positions 524 to 767 of the family's 1533-position model. The record is from RNAcentral. Lineage: Bacteria; Pseudomonadati; Gemmatimonadota; Gemmatimonadia; Gemmatimonadales; Gemmatimonadaceae.
UACAGAGGGUGCGAGCGUUGUCCGGAAUUACUGGGCGUAAAGGGCGCGUAGGCGGCCCCGCAACGCGUGCCGUGAAAGCCCGGGGCUCAACCCCGGGUCGGCGGUGCGAACGGGGGGGCUGGAGCCCACCAGAGGCAGGCGGAAUUCCGGGUGUAGCGGUGGAAUGCGUAGAGAUCCGGAAGAACACCGGUGGCGAAGGCGGCCUGCUGGGGUGGAGCUGACGCUGAGGCGCGACAGCGUGGGGA